This 440-nucleotide ribosomal RNA is filed under the name uncultured bacterium. Its description in RNAcentral is "partial 16S ribosomal RNA". It matches the Rfam family "Bacterial small subunit ribosomal RNA", at positions 339 to 795 of the family's 1533-position model. The record is from RNAcentral.
CUACGGGGGGCUGCAGCAAGGAAUAUUGUGCAAUGGGCGAAAGCCUGACACAGCGACACCGCGUAGGGGAAGAAGGCCUUCGGGUUGUAAACCCUUUUUCCCAGGGAAGAACAAUGACGGUACCUGGGGAAUAAGUCUCGGCUAACUACGUGCCAGCAGCCGCGGUAAUACGUAGGAGGCAAGCGUUAUUCGGAUUUAUUGGGCGUAAAGAGGGCGUAGGCGGCUUUUCAAGUCGGGUGUGAAAUCUCUCAGCUUAACUGGGAGGGGUCAUUCGAUACUGUUAAGCUAGAGGGCAGCAGAGGGAGGUGGAAUUCCCGGUGUAGUGGUGAAAUGCGUAGAUAUCGGGAGGAACACCAGUGGCGAAGGCGGCCUCCUGGGCUGCUUCUGACGCUCAGGCCCGAAAGCGUGGGGAGCAAACAGGAUUAGAUACCCCCGUAGUC